MicroRNA precursor from Bison bison bison, 61 nucleotides. The record is from Ensembl. NCBI's taxonomy places the organism in Eukaryota, Metazoa, Chordata, Mammalia, Artiodactyla, Bovidae.
AGAAAGUUCAUUUAGGUUUUUCUAUAGGAUGCUGUGGAAAAACUUGAACGGACUUUUUGGC